UACGUAGGGUGCAAGCGUUGUCCGGAAUUAUUGGGCGUAAAGAGCUCGUAGGCGGUUUGUCGCGUCGAAUGUGAAAUCCCGGGGCUCAACCCCGGGUCUGCAUUCGAUACGGGCAGACUAGAGUUCGGUAGGGGAGUCUGGAAUUCCUGGUGUAGCGGUGAAAUGCGCAGAUAUCAGGAAGAACACCAACGGCGAAGGCAGCUCGCUGGGACGGUACUGACGCUGAGAAGUGAAAGCAUGGGGAGCGAACAGG
RNAcentral lists this ribosomal RNA (253 nucleotides) under uncultured bacterium. RNAcentral describes it as "partial 16S ribosomal RNA". It matches the Rfam family "Bacterial small subunit ribosomal RNA", at positions 524 to 776 of the family's 1533-position model. The record is from RNAcentral.